This 416-nucleotide long non-coding RNA is filed under the name Mytilus galloprovincialis (Mediterranean mussel). Lineage: Eukaryota; Metazoa; Mollusca; Bivalvia; Mytilida; Mytilidae. The record is from RNAcentral.
ACUUGGGUGAGGUUUGAAAUUUGUGUCAAAUUUUCGGACUUCUCGACAUUUUUCCAUACAAAACGAGGUAAAAUAUUCUGCUCCAUAACACCAAUUUAGUUUUUCAUAUAAGAUUAAAUAGCUCAUGAAAGGUCAUUUACCAAAAUUUUAAACGAUUCCUAAUUUUCUUUCUUUUGUUUUAGAACUCAAAUAAUACCAAUGCAAACAUAAGGUUAAAGUCCAAGUCAGCCUUUUCCCGCCAUAUUUUCAACCUUAAAUAUCUCGAAAAGGAGGGCUAUGACCUAUCAAUAUUUUUAGCUUAUUUGUUUUAUCCUUAAAGAAUUCUCUACCUGCUUAUUGUAUCAAUUUUAAAUUCGUGAUUUAUAAAUGUUCACCUAACCUCACCUAAGUACAUCCUCAAUCAAAACAUAUAUUAC